Molecule: long non-coding RNA, 105 nt
Organism: Alosa sapidissima (American shad)
Lineage: Eukaryota; Metazoa; Chordata; Actinopteri; Clupeiformes; Clupeidae
Exons: 3
Source: RefSeq, a predicted model, not a curated record
CAAUUCCCUUCCAAUUUAGUCAGGGGGCCUAUAUGGUUUCUGUGGGUUUGAAAUGUUAAUUUUUGGAGAGUGGUUGGACUGUCUUUAGAGGUCAUUGAACAUGGA